Long non-coding RNA from Macadamia integrifolia, 607 nucleotides. RefSeq lists it as uncharacterized. NCBI's taxonomy places the organism in Eukaryota, Viridiplantae, Streptophyta, Magnoliopsida, Proteales, Proteaceae. The record is from RefSeq and is a predicted model, not a curated record. The transcript is spliced from 2 exons.
GCACCCUACCCUGCAUGUCACCGUAGGUGAGAGAACCUUUUCCCAGAUAAAGUUAAGGCUUUAAAAGGAAAGAAAGAGAAAAGAAGAAAGCAUAUAGAAAGGAUCAUGUCUUUCUCGUAUAUCAUCCACAUGCAUACAAACACAGACACGGAUAAACGGAGACACCUGCGGGGGGAGCGGAGCGGUCACUUGCAUGUUCCAUCCCAAAUCAGUGAGAAAUCACUCUCAGAUGUGAGACUUUGGCAGCGAGGGAUGCAACUAUUGCAAGCAAGUACAGUACUACACCACCACCACCACCACCCACACCCACACAUUCCCAUUCAUGAAAAGCAGAGCUAUACAUUUAAUAAAGGAAAAGAGACAAAAAUCACAAGCUCCCCUGCUUUUGCUUUCCAUUUUAAAUGCAGAAAAUAGUUGAGCGGAAAUGAGGAAUAUAGUUGAGACAUUAGUGUUCACUCUUGGGUGAUGAAGAAUAGGAGCAUGUCCUUGAUAACAGCCAUGAACUCAGACAGAUAAAAAGUGUGAGCUUUGAGUGAAGAUCUGUCUUGGAUCCAUAUCAUGAAAAGCCUUUGCAUUUAUAAUGGAAUUACUUGGUUUGUUAUUUGUA